CUAGCAUUCACAGUCUCCGUAGUGGACGUACAAGUAUCGGCUUUCUCACCAUCUUCGUCUUCUUCGUCUCGAUCCCAACAUCGGUCGAU
RNAcentral lists this non-coding RNA (89 nucleotides) under uncultured Nitzschia. Lineage: Eukaryota; Bacillariophyta; Bacillariophyceae; Bacillariales; Bacillariaceae. The record is from RNAcentral.